GACGAACGCUGGCGGCGUGCUUAACACAUGCAAGUCGAACGGUAAGGCCCUUCGGGGUACACGAGUGGCGAACGGGUGAGUAACACGUGGGUGAUCUGCCCUGCACUUCGGGAUAAGCCUGGGAAACUGGGUCUAAUACCGGAUAGGACCACUGCCUGCAUGGGUGGUGGUGGAAAGCUUUUGCGGUGUGGGAUGGGCCCGCGGCCUAUCAGCUUGUUGGUGGGGUGAUGGCCUACCAAGGCGACGACGGGUAGCCGGCCUGGGAGGGUGACCGGCCACACUGGGACUGAGAUACGGCCCAGACUCCUACGGGAGGAAGCAGUGGGGAAUAUUGCACAAUGGGCGCAAGCCUGAUGCAGCGACGCCGCGUGAGGGAUGACGGCCUUCGGGUUGUAAACCUCUUUCAGCACCGACGAAGCGCAAGUGACGGUAGUAGCAGAAGAAGGACCGGCCAACUACGUGCCAGCCGCCGCCGUAA
Molecule: ribosomal RNA, 478 nt
Filed under: uncultured bacterium
Lineage: Bacteria
Description: partial 16S ribosomal RNA
Rfam family: Bacterial small subunit ribosomal RNA
Source: RNAcentral